RNAcentral lists this unclassified non-coding RNA (275 nucleotides) under Glomeraceae sp. RNAcentral's name for it is "partial contains 5.8S ribosomal RNA and internal transcribed spacer 2". The stretch from base 1 to 71 matches the Rfam family "5.8S ribosomal RNA", at positions 84 to 154 of the family's 154-position model. Lineage: Eukaryota; Fungi; Glomeromycota; Glomeromycetes; Glomerales; Glomeraceae. The record is from RNAcentral.
GUGAAUCAUCGAAUCUUUGAACGCAAAUUGCACUCUCUGGCAUCCUGGAGAGCAUGCCUGUUCGAGGGUCAGUUUAACAAAAAUCGGCGUGUCGCUUUCGUGAUGCACUGGAGGUUGGGUCUUCCAAGCCUUAGGUUAAGAGCCUUAAAAUUGCUAUCUUUUUUGCGCGCUCUUAGCCGUACAUAAUUUUUUUUAUUCGUCUAUUUCGGUGCCAAAAUUUAUUAGGUACGAUUAUCUUGUGUCUAUAAUUUCUCAUCUUUUGACCUCAAUUCAUG